CAAGGCGAUGAUCAGUAGCCGGACUGAGAGGUUGAACGGCCACAUUGGGACUGAGAUACGGCCCAGACUCCUACGGGAGGCAGCAGUCGGGAAUAUUGCGCAAUGGAGGAAACUCUGACGCAGUGACGCCGCGUGCAGGAAGAAGGUUUUCGGAUUGUAAACUGCUUUAGAUAGGGAAGAAACAAAUGACGGUACCUAUAGAAUAAGCUCCGGCUAACUACGUGCCAGCAGCCGCGGUAAUACGUAGGGAGCAAGCGUUAUCCGGAUUUAUUGGGUGUAAAGGGUGCGUAGAUGGGCAAGCAAGUUAGUUGUGAAAUACCUAGGCUUAACUUAGGAACUGCAACUAAAACUACUAGUCUUGAGUGCUGGAGGGGAAAGCGGAAUUCCUAGUGUAGCGGUGAAAUGCGUAGAUAUUAGGAAGAACACCGGUGGCGAAGGCGGCUUUCUGGACAGUUAACUUGACAAUUGAGGCACGAAAGUGUGGGGAGCAAACAGGAUUAGAUACCCCUGGUAGUCCACACCGUAAACGAUGAAUACUAGGUGUUGGUGGUGAUAAGCCAUCAGUGCCGUAAGCAAACGCAAUAAGUAUUCCACCUGGGGAGUACGACCGCAAGGUUGAAACUCAAAGGAAUUGACGGGGGCCCGCACAAGCAGUGGAGUAUGUGGUUUAAUUCGAAGCAACGCGAAGAACCUUACCAAGGCUUGACAUGUACAGGAAUAACAUAGAGAUAUGUUAGCUCUUCGGAGUCUGUACACAGGUGGUGCAUGGUUGUCGUCAGCUCGUGUCGUGAGAUGUUAGGUUAAGUCCUGCAACGAGCGCAACCCCUGUUUCUAGUUACCAGCGAGUAAAGUCGGGAACUCUAGAAAGACUGCCGGUAAUAAAUCGGAGGAAGGUGGGGAUGACGUCAAAUCAUCAUGCCCUUUAUGUCUUGGGCAACACACGUACUACAAUGGCCGUGACAGAGAGACGCAACACAGUGAUGUGAAGCAAAUCCCAAAAAGCGGUCUCAGUUCGGACUGAAGGCUGAAAUUCGCCUUCACGAAGUCGGAAUUGCUAGUAAUGGCAGGUCAGCAUACUGCCGUGAAUACGUUCCCGGGCCUUGUACACACCGCCCGUCACACCAUGAGAGUUGGAAAUACCCGAAGCCUGUGAGUUAACUUUAUAGAGACAGCAGUCGAAGUAGAGCCAAUGAUU
Molecule: ribosomal RNA, 1195 nt
Filed under: uncultured bacterium
Lineage: Bacteria
Description: bacterial SSU rRNA
Rfam family: Bacterial small subunit ribosomal RNA
Source: RNAcentral